CAGCCUUGGCCAGCCCAGAAAAGGGCUCCCGCAGUGCAGUGGGGGGGGGCUGAAGGGUUCCUCAAAUGCCACCAAAGUGGGAGCCCAGGCAGGGGAGGUGCCGAGAGCAAGCGAGGACUCUGAGGACUGCCAGCAUGCUGUCAGCUCUCAGAAGCACUGCACUGUCUCCCUCUUGCAGUGUUUCCCUCUUUUCAGGGACCCAGGAUUCGAGGUUUUCAAAUAUUAUUUUCUACAAGUUGGAUUGAAUCUUAAAUUCUUUCCAGGUUACAAGUCUCCAAGGCUUCAACAUUCCAUGUCAAGCUGAUAGUUGUGCAAGGAUUCCAAACCCUCCCAUCCCAGCAAGAGCCAAGCCCCUAUAAAACAUUAAAUCAAAAGAUUUUUGUGGCCUCUAGGGUUGGGCGAGGACGACAACCCUGUUCAGCAGAAAGUAGCUCCAGAAGACUAGACUGCUGCCCUUUUUCCUUAAGAAGAAGGAGGAUAAAAUGUCUCAGUGUGGCAUGAGGCAGAGGAGAGGCAGAACUUGGCUUCAGCUCACCCCCCACAGAGCAUUCCUGCUGACCACAAACCCCACACCACUACAUCACUGCCACCAUAAUGUUUAACCAUGCCUUUUACUUAAAGAAUUCCAGGAACUGGCCUUAGAAGAUAACCAUGGUUGUGAAGUGUCCCAUCUCUGGAAGAAAUGCUGAACAACUGAUUUACAGCUUUGUUGCCACUGGCCAGACCACCAGGUGGUCCAUUACUCAAGAUAAUCAUCACAACCAGAUAAUGCUGCUCUGCAAACUCCACCCCUCAUGUGCUUUGCCCAGCUCAGCCCACACAUACCCUACCCCUGAUGUCAAUUCCUGCAUAGUGCCUAAUUAAAAAGCCAUACUGGCUCUUUCUGGGGAGUCAGUCAAGGAAUCUUCUCUCUCUCUCUCUCUUUCUCUCUGUCUUGCUGCCUCCCUUAUGCCCAGGCAUAAGCUCCAGUGAAGCUUUGUCUGGGAAUCUCUUUCAGCCUCAUGUCAAUUUCUGUUAACUGGAGAGCCCAAGAACACAUGGUGGGUAACACAAACACAACAUGAAACUAAAGUUUUAUUUUCCAAGACAAAGCCCCAAUGGAACCUUUCCUCGCUAUUUCCUGAGACAUGUUGUCUGCCUUUUAAGAGGAUACAUGUGAGUAGCUGACCCCCAGAACUACUCUUUCCCCACAUAAUGAGGGCCUCCCAUGUCUCAUUUGUUUUUAGAGCUCCAUGACCAGCUAUGUCAUUUGGGCUUGAUUUUAUAGGUGGAGAAACUGAGGCCCAGAGGACACAUAUGGGGAGUGCAUGACCCAGUGUUUUGCCCAGGUCAACUUGACUCCCACAGUCAAGCGCGGCCCCGUUAGCUGAUUCCCAGCGGACUGAUAACCGUCUCUGGAAUGAAGCAGGGAGUGACUGAAUCAGGAAACCCAUCAACAGUGCUACCUACCCGUCUACUUGGAAAAGAAGAGGAAUUCCCACAAGCAGCUCUGGGAGACCUCUUAAUGCCCAGGGACACCUACAUCUCUCUGUCAAUCUCUUCUCCAGGUCAGCUCCAACUCUCAGGGUCUUUUCAGGGGCCUGACCCUCCUGCUUCGGCCCCCCAGUGAAUGAGGCCUCUCCUGGCCUGCCCCCUUCUCCCCGCCUCCCCAGAAUAUCCCUUUCCACUCUUUCAAAUGAACCUAAUCUGUGUCUGCUCCUGCCCAACCGCAUCUUCUGCCAGGCAGUUGGUGCCUGAAACCAGCUCAUGAGAGUUUCUAGCCCUGGAGAGAAGUGCGCAGCACAUUGGCUGCACCCAUAGCUCUGGCUUUUGUGAUCUGACCCAGAAAAGCC
RNAcentral lists this long non-coding RNA (1832 nucleotides) under Homo sapiens (human). RNAcentral describes it as "HSALNT0111063". Lineage: Eukaryota; Metazoa; Chordata; Mammalia; Primates; Hominidae. The record is from RNAcentral.